CCUACGGGAGGCAGCAGUGGGGAAUAUUGCACAAUGGGGGCAACCCUGAUGCAGCGACGCCGCGUGAGUGAAGAAGUAAUUCGUUAUGUAAAGCUCUAUCAGCAGGGAAGAAAAUGACGGUACCUGAGUAAGAAGCCCCUGCUAACUACGUGCGAGCAGCCGCGGUAAUACGUAGGGGGCAAGCGUUAACCGGAUUUACUGGGUGUAAAGUGAGCGUAGACGGCUGUGCAAGUCUGGAGUGAAAGGCGGGGGCUCAACCCCCGGACUGCUCUGGAAACUGUACGGCUUGAGUGCAGGAGAGGGAAGUGGAAUUCCUAGUGUAGCGGUGAAAUGCGUAGAUAUUAGGAGGAACACCAGUGGCGAAGGCGGCUUACUGGACUGUAACUGACGUUGAGGUUCGAAAGCGUGGGGAGCAAACAGGAUUAGAUACCCGAGUAGUC
RNAcentral lists this ribosomal RNA (440 nucleotides) under uncultured bacterium. RNAcentral describes it as "partial 16S ribosomal RNA". It matches the Rfam family "Bacterial small subunit ribosomal RNA", at positions 338 to 795 of the family's 1533-position model. The record is from RNAcentral.